Drosophila melanogaster (fruit fly) is the source of this 133-nucleotide small nucleolar RNA. NCBI's taxonomy places the organism in Eukaryota, Metazoa, Arthropoda, Insecta, Diptera, Drosophilidae. The record is from Ensembl.
CAGCACCUAAAAGCGUUUUCUUAUCAGCUUGAUAAAUGCUCUUGAAAAUCGUAGAUGUGUGCAAUAGCAAUAUCUACAAUAGCUUGGGAUUCAGUUUCUAUAUAACUUCAAUCCGUUCAGAUUGUAAACAUCC